This 2034-nucleotide long non-coding RNA is filed under the name Equus caballus (horse). RNAcentral describes it as "lncRNA (ENSECAG00000047997.1)". Lineage: Eukaryota; Metazoa; Chordata; Mammalia; Perissodactyla; Equidae. The record is from RNAcentral.
GACAAAUUGUGUAAACUAAUGUUUUAUGUUUUAAUCUAUUUGAAUAUAAUUUUCAGGAAACUAAAGAGACAACAUUCAAAGCUGAAUGAAUUAUAAUGAAAACAAGGACUAUAAUGCUAUUACUGAGAAUUUGGUAAAAGUAAUCACAUACUUAAUGACAAAUCUUAUUGCUGGAAAGAAGCCAGUGAACCUAAGAGCACUGUUGGUUAUUACAUAACAUUAAUGGUUUAAAAGAUUGGGAACUGGUGGAGAUAAGUGAAGAUUUGGAGGAUAUGACAUUAAGAAUUAUUCAUUGAAUCACAGCAUCAAAGCCCUAUAUUUUGAUUCUGGGCCACAAGACAGACCUAUGAAACCCACAUGGCAAGUCGAAUAUUUGUCCCUAUUUUAUAAGUCUAUUACAUAAAUUAUUUCCUUACAAAAAUAGAAGUAUUUCCAUGCAUAUCCAGUCUAGAGGGAAUAAUGUGGUAGUCCAUACAAUUUUCGUGGAUUACAUUUAGGUAAUUAUACUAAAGCAAGUUAGUAGAGAAAUUAUUAAUAGUUUAGAAAGGAAAACAAUCUCAAAAUUUCCAGAACUUGAUGGGCCAAUGGAAUUCAUAUUAUUGGUUAAGCUAAUUUUUUAGAAUGUGAAAGAUACUUUCCAGGGUGUCUUUGUGGAAAAACAAAUAAACAAACAAACAGGAAGAGAUCAAAUGAUGGAAUUGAGAUCAAUUAGGGGCCCAACCAGGAGACUGCGAAAUCACGGGUCCUGCAAGGAUUUCUUAAUCUGCACUUGGUUUGAAUCUCCAGUAGGAAGUUUGCAGUUUGCUGUAAACAAGAUAAGGAACUAUACUUUACAUAAUUUUUUGUGUGAGUAAAUUUAUUUCACUGUUUCAUAUGACAGCUACUUGAUCUGCUUCUUACGUACACACUAGAAAUUUGGGGGAGAAGGACCAACAAUUAGCAAUUUAUUUUCAUUAUGACUCCUCCAAAUUUCCCAACAACAAAAUUUCUUAGGGGGAAAAAAGUGGAGGACAAUCAGAACAAGUCAGAUGACCCUGUGUUCGAAGGCAUUACAGAAAGGAAAAAUAAAAAGUAGGCCCAGCCCAAUGGGAAAAGGAAAAAGUAAAAUAAAAUUAUUGCUCUGUGGGUUGGAAGAGGCACGAGGUUUAAAACGUAAAUAUGGUAGUACACUUUUUUUUUCUGGUAAACCACAUAGCUUUCACUAAACAGGCUAAUGAUAGAACAAACCAUAUGUGAAUACAUGAGAAAGGGUGAGAGAUAAAAAGAGGUGAAAAAGGAUAAAUUGUGAAAGUGGAAUAUAUAGAGGAGAGAGAAAAAGGAAGUUGAGUGAGUAGUUAAUUGUUAGAAAAAGUGCAACAGUGAAAAGAUAUAGAUUUGUAUAAAAAGUUAGGGACUUUUCCUGUUUCUUUUUUUUUAAUUUAGUGCUGCCUUAUUCAUCUCCUGGCAGAAAUCUACAUUAAGCUACUGCAUUACUUUCAAAGGUUUAAUGUUGAACUUAUACUUUAAAAUGUCACACAGUGCCCAAACUGGCCUUGAGUUGGCUCCUGUACAUUUGUAUGACUCAUGUGUAAAAUGAAACGUGUAUGAACAGAUGACAGGCAGAAGAAAGAAUGAGAUGAAAGAGGAGCUCAGAGGUGGCAGAAGUAGCUGGGCAUGGAGAGUAGCUGAGUGGUUUUACUGGAUGGGAAGUUGUCCUGGUUGAUGGAACUUGCUCUUUUCUAAGUAGCUGUGGUUGCUGAAGGCUGUGUAACUCUUCCCUCCCCUCCAUGGCCAAGAUUCUACAGCUCUCCCCAGGCUUUUAAGGCCACGAUGUACGACUGUUUCACUUUUCUAUAGUUUGAUAUGUAUCCUAAUAAUACAUCCCAUCCUAAGUUGUUCUCUGUCUCGGAAAAAUCAAAAGGAGCCUAAUGGAAAGAAUAGUUAUUCCACUUCAUAUUGAAAUAGAAUUUUUGAUUUUCCAGUCAUUCAAGGAUAUACUAUUUUUGGAAUAUAACACACAGGAAUUUCCAAAAAUACAGAAUAUUUCAUAGCACG